Molecule: ribosomal RNA, 441 nt
Filed under: Triticum aestivum (bread wheat)
Lineage: Eukaryota; Viridiplantae; Streptophyta; Magnoliopsida; Poales; Poaceae
Description: partial small subunit ribosomal RNA
Source: RNAcentral
AUGAAUAUUGAGCGAUAUUCGUAUGUCAUACACAUUAGCUCAACGGUUACUGGGGAGCUGCGUGACAAUCUUACAUGUUGGGAUGCCCCGCGGGCUGCAUUGCCUGUUGGAACCGUCAGUUGUGCUCCCAAGGUGAGAGCGAUGGAGCUGACCGACGAGAUGGAGGUGAAGAUGCGCGGACCAUGCAGCGGUGGCUUCGGCCAGAUCCCCUUCGCGCUGCGCACCAUCGUCUUCCCGACAGCAUCCCGGUUCGACACCAUGUACUCGUACGCCUCUGAUAGCAGCAACGCGCCAGGAGUGGGUGGCGCACCUCCAGACCGGCGCCGGGAUCGUUGCCGACAGCAAGCCGGAAGACGAGCAGCAGGAGUGCCAGAACAAGGCCGCUGGCCUCGCUCACGCCAUCGAUCUCGCCGAGUCAACGUUCCUGGAUUUCUCCGAUGU